This 1225-nucleotide ribosomal RNA is filed under the name metagenome. RNAcentral describes it as "bacterial LSU rRNA". It matches the Rfam family "Bacterial large subunit ribosomal RNA", at positions 1717 to 2925 of the family's 2925-position model. The record is from RNAcentral.
GCAAAUUGACACCGUAACUUCGGGAGAAGGUGUGCCGCUGGCGGUUAGUGACUUCGCGUCACGAAGCUGUUGGUGGUCGCAGUGAAAUGGCGGUUGUGACUGUUUACUAAAAACACAGGACUCUGCGAAGUCGUAAGACGACGUAUAGGGUCUGGUGCCUGCCCGGUGCUGGAAGGUUAAGGGGAUAUGUCAGAGCAAUCGAAGCAUUGAACCGAAGCCCCAGUAAACGGCGGCCGUAACUAUAACGGUCCUAAGGUAGCGAAAUUCCUUGUCGGGUAAGUUCCGACCUGCACGAAGGGCAUAACAACAUCCGCACUGUCUCGACCAGGGACUCAGCGAAAUUACAUUGGGGGUGAAGAUGCCCUCUACCCGCGGAAAGACGGAAAGACCCCAUGAACCUUUACUGCAACUUGGCAGUGAUUUUCGGGUUGUUCUGCGUAGGAUAGGUGGGAGGCUUUGAAGUCGGGCUUCCGGGUUCGACAGAGCCAACGUUGAAAUACCACCCUGAAUAAUCUGGAAAUCUAACCUGCGCCCAUGAUCUGGGCGAGGGACACUGCCUGGUGGGCAGUUUGACUGGGGCGGUCGCCUCCUAAAUUGUAACGGAGGCGUGCGACGGUUCCCUCAGGCUGAUUGGAAACCAGCCGUAGAGUGCAAACGCAUAAGGGAGCUUUACUGCGAGACUGACAAGUCGAACAGUUGCGAAAGCAGGUGUUAGUGAUCCGGUGGUACCACAUGGAAGGGCCAUCGCUCAUCGGAUAAAAGGUACUCUGGGGAUAACAGGCUGAUCGCGCCUGAGAGUUCACAUCGGCGCGCGGUUUGGCACCUCGAUGUCGGCUCAUCGCAUCCUGGGGCUGGAGCAGGUCCCAAGGGUUUGGCUGUUCGCCAAUUAAAGCGGUACGCGAGCUGGGUUUAAAACGUCGUGAGACAGUUUGGUCCCUAUCUUCCGUGGGCGCAGGACACUUGAGAGGAGCUAUCCAUAGUACGAGAGGACCUGGAUGGACGAACCUCUGGUGCUCCGGUUGUCACGCCAGUGGCAUAGCCGGGUAGCCAUAUUCGGAACAGAUAACCGCUGAAGGCAUAUAAGCGGGAAGCUGGCCUCAAGACUAGGUGUCCCUGACGCAAGUCACUAAAGGCCCCUCGAAGACUACGAGUUUGAUAGGCUAGGUGUGGAAGCACAGCGAUGUGCGGAGCUAACUAGUACUAAUAGGCCGUGCGACUUGACCUC